GCUCUGCUCGGAGGAUCUCGCCGGCUUCCUUCGCCCCGUUUUAUUUGUAUUGUUUUGUUCGGAGAGAGAGAAGCGAAGGGAAGGGAAGGGGAAAAGGAGGAAGCAGAAACACGCGCAACCGUCUGCCCUCACUUGCAGAUGUGCACCAAAAAGACACAUUCAAGAUGCUUUUCUAAGGUGAUGCAAGCAGCGGAUUCAUCUUGUGAAAUAGGAGAAUGAAACCAGCACCACUGAGGCAAGGCAGUUUUGCUGGAUCCUGGAGUGCAUGGAGUCCUCUCUGUCCUGGCUUACGACUGCCACAUCUUUGAAAGCAGGAGUCAUGCCAACUCCCCUCUUCUUUCCUUUAUCUGUUCUGCAUGGAUUAUCACUGAACUGUGAGCUGUCCUGUCAUUAUCCCUGGCCAACUGUCACUUAGACUGGAAGGUCCAUCAUUUCAUCGCAUCCCUAAAAGGAGAGUCAGAAGGCAGGAAACAUUAACUCUUGUUGCUGCCUUGUGAAGAUCCUCCCUCAUUUUUUAACAAUGUAAAUUUAUGCUUUUAUUCAUGUUAUAUAUAUAUAUAUAUAUAUAUAUAUAUAUAUAUAUAUAUAUAUAUAUAUAUAUAUAUAUAUAUAUAUAUAUAAUAGAAGAAUUAACUUUUAUUUCCUUUCGAUAAUUUGUAUUACUUAUGUCAAUCCGUUGCCACCCCUGAUUAACGGUUCGUGGUCAGAUUGUAAACAACGUCUCAAUUUAUGCCUAAUAAAGGUUAUUAUAUUGUAUACUA
Molecule: long non-coding RNA, 761 nt
Organism: Sphaerodactylus townsendi
Lineage: Eukaryota; Metazoa; Chordata; Lepidosauria; Squamata; Sphaerodactylidae
Exons: 2
Source: RefSeq, a predicted model, not a curated record